Molecule: ribosomal RNA, 696 nt
Filed under: uncultured bacterium
Lineage: Bacteria
Description: bacterial SSU rRNA
Rfam family: Bacterial small subunit ribosomal RNA
Source: RNAcentral
AACGCUAGCUACAGGCUUAACACAUGCAAGUCGAGGGGAAACGACAUCGAAAGCUUGCUUUUGAUGGGCGUCGACCGGCGCACGGGUGAGUAACGCGUAUCCAACCUGCCCACCACUUGGGGAUAACCUUGCGAAAGUAAGACUAAUACCCAAUGAUAUCCCACGAAGGCAUCCGAAUGGGAUUAAAGAUUUAUCGGUGAUGGAUGGGGAUGCGUCUGAUUAGCUUGUUGGCGGGGUAACGGCCCACCAAGGCAACGAUCAGUAGGGGUUCUGAGAGGAAGGUCCCCCACAUUGGAACUGAGACACGGUCCAAACUCCUACGGGAGGCAGCAGUGAGGAAUAUUGGUCAAUGGGCGAGAGCCUGAACCAGCCAAGUAGCGUGCAGGAUGACGGCCCUAUGGGUUGUAAACUGCUUUUAUAAGGGAAUAAAGUGGGUCUCGUGAGACUUUUUGCAUGUACCUUAUGAAUAAGGACCGGCUAAUUCCGUGCCAGCAGCCGCGGUAAUACGGAAGGUCCGGGCGUUAUCCGGAUUUAUUGGGUUUAAAGGGAGCGUAGGCCGGAGAUUAAGCGUGUUGUGAAAUGUAGUGGCUCAACCUCUGCACUGCAGCGCGAACUGGUCUUCUUGAGUACGCACAACGUGGGCGGAAUUCGUGGUGUAGCGGUGAAAUGCUUAGAUAUCACGAAGAACUCCGAUUG